AUGCUUGGAAGAAAAAUAGUCGACUCCACCCUGGAUUAUCCUAUUUUAUGAUUUUUCAGUACUAAAUCAACGACU
This is a small nucleolar RNA of Schizosaccharomyces osmophilus, 75 nucleotides long. The record is from RefSeq and is a predicted model, not a curated record. Lineage: Eukaryota; Fungi; Ascomycota; Schizosaccharomycetes; Schizosaccharomycetales; Schizosaccharomycetaceae.